RNAcentral lists this ribosomal RNA (253 nucleotides) under uncultured bacterium. RNAcentral's name for it is "partial 16S ribosomal RNA". It matches the Rfam family "Bacterial small subunit ribosomal RNA", at positions 524 to 776 of the family's 1533-position model. The record is from RNAcentral.
UACGUAGGGUGCGAGCGUUGUCCGGAAUUAUUGGGCGUAAAGAGCUUGUAGGCGGUUUGUCGCGUCUGCUGUGAAAAUCCGGGGCUCAACCCCGGACUUGCAGUGGGUACGGGCAGACUAGAGUGUGGUAGGGGAGACUGGAAUUCCUGGUGUAGCGGUGGAAUGCGCAGAUAUCAGGAGGAACACCGAUGGCGAAGGCAGCUCGCUGGGACGUUACUGACGCUGAGACGCGAAAGCGUGGGGAGCAAACAGG